Molecule: ribosomal RNA, 930 nt
Filed under: Sheathia boryana
Lineage: Eukaryota; Rhodophyta; Florideophyceae; Batrachospermales; Batrachospermaceae
Description: eukaryotic LSU rRNA
Rfam family: 5.8S ribosomal RNA (bases 261-413)
Source: RNAcentral
UUUCCGUAGGUGAACCUGCGGAAGGAUCAUUCAUGUUUUUAAAACAGUCUUUUAGGGGGGGUUGUAUGUGGACACACCGUUUGGUGCGUUUGCAUGCAUUCCCUCUAAUAGGCUACAACCAUUCCGGUGACCAUUCUAUACCUUUUUGUUGUUGUUGUACAACGAUGCUGUAAAACGCAUUGUUUACCACACACAACUCUUUUUUUUAUAUAUAAAACCCACCAUGAAAAACCACAACAGAAACGAAACCAAGAAAAUAAAACUCGUGACGGAGGAUAUCUUGGCUCCCACAUCGAUGAAGAACGCAGCGAAAUGCGAUACGUAGUGUGAAUUGCAGAACACGUGAGUCAUCGAAUCUUUGAACGCAAGUGGUGCUCGCGGGCAAUCCUGCGAGCAUGUCUGUUUGAGUGUCCGCACAAAAUACUCGCGCCUCUAUAUUUGUUAUGUAUAUAUAAGGGUGCGGCGAUUGGGUUAUUUUCAUCUGCUUCACUGCGGAAGACCCGGAAUGCAGUGCUUGGAAGUUACAUGGUGCGUCAGCCCCAUUUCCGUGUGCAUCAACAUAUCUGCGCGACUAUCUAGCGCGGAAAACCAGUGUUUAAAAACUAGCAAGCAAUGCGUGGUGCUUCGUUGCGUCUGCUGCGCUGAAAAGAAAGGAAGUCUGGACGGAAACGACGUCUCGGGACUCUCUCUGCUGGGAAGUAACUACAUUCCAGGGGGGGGGAGAUGAGGCGGGGUUUUUUUGCGAGCUGGACUGCCAUGAAAAAACUUUUCGGGGCACACGGUGGGAAAAGCGAUGGGAAAGCCGGUAAAAUGGUGAUUCUUUGGCGGAUCCUGCGGUGUAAAAGGCGGUGCGUGAGCGGGUGCUGUAUACUACAUGCGCAGUGCGUCACUGGCGGACUUUAUUUCUCGGAUCUCAAAUCAGGCAAGACU